UUGUAUUGCCAUGGGAGCUAACGAGUUGUUUCUCCUCCCAUGACAUCUUCCAGUUCAAUACAAAACAUCCAAAUGCACUAGUAUGACAUUCUAUAUUUAUUAUAUACCCUAUUAUCUUGCAUUAAUCUGUUACUUAAUAA
Molecule: long non-coding RNA, 140 nt
Organism: Haliotis rubra (blacklip abalone)
Lineage: Eukaryota; Metazoa; Mollusca; Gastropoda; Lepetellida; Haliotidae
Exons: 3
Source: RefSeq, a predicted model, not a curated record